GUUAGAGUAGGGUUGUGACACUUGGCAUAAGAUUAGAGGUUGUGAUGGUUAAUUAGUUAAGAUGGUUGUGUAUAAAUAGUAGUGUAUUCUGCAUUACCUGUUCAUUAAGAAAGAAAGUUCAUUUUCCUCUGCUCUCUCUCUCUAUCCCUGAUAUCUCAUUCUCUCUCUCUCUAGAAAUUGUUCUUCAUAGUUCUUCAUUUGAUAUUGAUUAACAUGGUAUCAUCGCCAUUACCGCUCACGCAGAUUCUUCGAUCCGGCUUCUUGCUUCCGCUAUCUCUGUCUUCGAUUUGAUCUUCGGCUCCCUCUGAUCUCUCUGUUUCUUGCUUCUUCACGAUUUCUGUGUCUUCUUGACUAUUCAUAAUUUCUAGGGUUUGUUGAUUCGAUCUCGAAGUGUGAUUGUUUCUUCUUCUCUUCUCUUGGCAUUGUGUCGCUCCGGUGUUUGUGCUCAGUUCUCAGUGAAUUGCUUAGUUCUGUACUGCAACAAUGGUGACUGCUGCCCAACUUCAAAUUUUGCAAUCUCCGAUCACGGCUCUUAUUUCUACGAUUUCGAUGUCUG
RNAcentral lists this long non-coding RNA (556 nucleotides) under Prunus persica (peach). RNAcentral's name for it is "long non-coding RNA (PPER_LNC007577)". Lineage: Eukaryota; Viridiplantae; Streptophyta; Magnoliopsida; Rosales; Rosaceae. The record is from RNAcentral.